UCGCCAGCAACUGGGUUGUUGAGCGAUAACUAAAAUCAUUAACACAUUCCUCUUUGAAGAGCCGAUAUGACUGUCGGCUCUCUUUUUUUU
This 90-nucleotide non-coding RNA is filed under the name Pantoea stewartii subsp. stewartii DC283. The record is from RNAcentral. Lineage: Bacteria; Pseudomonadati; Pseudomonadota; Gammaproteobacteria; Enterobacterales; Erwiniaceae.